Callithrix jacchus (white-tufted-ear marmoset) is the source of this 46-nucleotide non-coding RNA. The record is from Rfam. Lineage: Eukaryota; Metazoa; Chordata; Mammalia; Primates; Cebidae.
CAAAAGGCCCUUUUCAGGGCCCCCACCCUCUCACCUGAGGAGCCGU